This 1058-nucleotide ribosomal RNA is filed under the name Salmonella enterica subsp. enterica serovar Moscow str. SA20061414. RNAcentral's name for it is "bacterial LSU rRNA". It matches the Rfam family "Bacterial large subunit ribosomal RNA", at positions 902 to 1942 of the family's 2925-position model. The record is from RNAcentral. Lineage: Bacteria; Pseudomonadati; Pseudomonadota; Gammaproteobacteria; Enterobacterales; Enterobacteriaceae.
GUAGAGCACUGUUUCGGCUAGGGGGCCAUCCCGGCUUACCAACCCGAUGCAAACUGCGAAUACCGGAGAAUGUUAUCACGGGAGACACACGGCGGGUGCUAACGUCCGUCGUGAAGAGGGAAACAACCCAGACCGCCAGCUAAGGUCCCAAAGUCAUGGUUAAGUGGGAAACGAUGUGGGAAGGCCCAGACAGCCAGGAUGUUGGCUUAGAAGCAGCCAUCAUUUAAAGAAAGCGUAAUAGCUCACUGGUCGAGUCGGCCUGCGCGGAAGAUGUAACGGGGCUAAACCAUGCACCGAAGCUGCGGCAGCGACACUGUGUGUUGUUGGGUAGGGGAGCGUUCUGUAAGCCUGCGAAGGUGGCCUGUGAGGGUUGCUGGAGGUAUCAGAAGUGCGAAUGCUGACAUAAGUAACGAUAAAGCGGGUGAAAAGCCCGCUCGCCGGAAGACCAAGGGUUCCUGUCCAACGUUAAUCGGGGCAGGGUGAGUCGACCCCUAAGGCGAGGCCGAAAGGCGUAGUCGAUGGGAAACGGGUUAAUAUUCCCGUACUUGGUGUUACUGCGAAGGGGGGACGGAGAAGGCUAUGUUGGCCGGGCGACGGUUGUCCCGGUUUAAGCGUGUAGGCUGGUUUUCCAGGCAAAUCCGGAAAAUCAAGGCUGAGGCGUGAUGACGAGGCACUACGGUGCUGAAGCAACAAAUGCCCUGCUUCCAGGAAAAGCCUCUAAGCAUCAGGUAACAUCAAAUCGUACCCCAAACCGACACAGGUGGUCAGGUAGAGAAUACCAAGGCGCUUGAGAGAACUCGGGUGAAGGAACUAGGCAAAAUGGUGCCGUAACUUCGGGAGAAGGCACGCUGACACGUAGGUGAAGUGAUUUACUCAUGGAGCUGAAGUCAGUCGAAGAUACCAGCUGGCUGCAACUGUUUAUUAAAAACACAGCACUGUGCAAACACGAAAGUGGACGUAUACGGUGUGACGCCUGCCCGGUGCCGGAAGGUUAAUUGAUGGGGUCAGCGCAAGCGAAGCUCCUGAUCGAAGCCCCGGUAAACGGCGGACCGUAACUA